UACGAAGGGGGCUAGCGUUGCUCGGAAUGACUGGGCGUAAAGGGCGCGUAGGCGGCAUACACAGUCAGAUGUGAAAUUCCUGGGCUCAACCUGGGGACUGCAUUUGAUACGUGUAAGCUAGAGUGGAGAAGAGGGUCGUGGAAUUUCCAGUGUAGAGGUGAGAUUCGUAGAUAUUGGAAAGAACACCGGUGGCGAAGGCGGCGACCUGGUCUUUAACUGACGCUGAGGCGCGAAAGCGUGGGGAGCAAACAGGGAUUAGGUACCCUGGUAGUCCACGCUGUAAACGAUGUGUGCUGGAUGUUGGGAAACUUAGUUUUUCAGUGUCGUAGCUAACGCGAUAAGCACACCGCCUGGGGAGUACGGCCGCAAGGUUGAAACUCA
This 381-nucleotide ribosomal RNA is filed under the name uncultured bacterium. RNAcentral's name for it is "bacterial SSU rRNA". It matches the Rfam family "Bacterial small subunit ribosomal RNA", at positions 524 to 903 of the family's 1533-position model. The record is from RNAcentral.